GCGACCCGCAGUCCCAGCAUUGUGGACUUGUUUGGAUCCAUAAGCAGGCAUUUCUACAGCCAGCCCUGAGGGACCUGACAAACCAGUUAUCAGGCAUCUGUAAGGCCACCUACGGACCACCUAUGGACCACUUCAAAUCACCUGUGCAUGCUCUGUGUCGCCUUAUAAGAGAACUUGAAACCCCUCCUCUCUCUCUUUCUCUCCUGCCCUGCCCAGACAUCGUCUCUGUAACCCCUUCCCCCCACAUGAAACCAGUCGUGUGGCAUGAUUUGUGAACCCACUGUGUAACUCUUUUGCAAAUUCUAAUAUUGGUGCACUUGUCUGGGAAUAGGUGCCUCCAGCAUCCACGCUGCAUGGUGGUUUUCGGCAACUAGCUAUCUGCUGCAUUCAACACUGGCUGGAUUGGCACCAUUCCUCUGUGGUCAUUCAGCUACAGGAUCCUACCUGGCAUAUUACCCAGUUCCUGGUGAUGGAAGAAGAAGAGAUGGAACUGUUCAACUCUGCCAGCAGGUUGCUUUAAUUACUUCAAUCCUCACUCCCCACUCAGGAACUCUUCAACUCUGCCAGCAUGCUCCAGCAUCUAAGGCAAGUCUCCUCAUCAGACGCAGCUAUCAGCAGAUCAUCCACAUACUGCAAGAGAAUAAGAAUCCUGGCCAUGGACUCAAUAGCUGCCUAGCAGGAUAAGAGGGCAAUUCAGAUCUUGCCCCUUUUGUCUGUUGCAGGAAUCACAGCAGCUGUCAGGACCAGGACAGCAGGUAACUUUCACUAACUUUGUAUUAUCAGUUUUCUUCCCAGUUUAUCCAGUUCCUCUGGCAAGUGGCUCAGACAAUGCUAACCCUCCAAGGACAGAUCGACUCACUGGCAGCAGUAGAUUAUCAACCUCUGCCUACAGAACGAGAUGACAAUGAUCCUCCAAUUAACCCUGAUGGUGGGGACCAGCUAUACCCUGAGAAUGACGAUGUCCCUUAUCAGCAGGAAGUAGCUAGAAGAGCAGAAGU
Long non-coding RNA from Psammomys obesus (fat sand rat), 998 nucleotides. RefSeq lists it as uncharacterized. The transcript is spliced from 6 exons. The record is from RefSeq and is a predicted model, not a curated record. NCBI's taxonomy places the organism in Eukaryota, Metazoa, Chordata, Mammalia, Rodentia, Muridae.